GAAACCGCGAAUGGCUCAUUAAAUCAGCUACAAUUUAUUAGAUCGUACACUGUUACUUGGAUAACUGUGGGAAUUCUAGAGCUAAUACAUGCCGAGAGUCUCUGCCUUUCGGGGCAGAGCGCAAUUAUUAGACCAAAACUAACCGAUCCUCUCGGGGGUCGAAACUUUGGUGACUCUGGAUAAUCUUCAGUCGAUCGCAUGGCCUUGUGCCGGCGACGUAUCUUUCAAGUGGCUGACCUAUCAACUUUCGAUGGUACGUUAUAUGCCUACCAUGGUGAUAACGGGUAACGGGGAAUCAGGGUUCGAUUCCGGAGAGGGAGCCUGAGAAAUGGCUACCACAUCCAAGGAUGGCAGCAGGCGCGCAAAUUACCCACUCCCAGUUCGGGGAGGUAGUGACGAAAAAUAACAAUGCGGGACUCUAAGAGGCCCCGUAAUUGGAAUGAGUACACCUUAAA
This 455-nucleotide ribosomal RNA is filed under the name uncultured eukaryote. RNAcentral describes it as "bacterial SSU rRNA". It matches the Rfam family "Eukaryotic small subunit ribosomal RNA", at positions 83 to 529 of the family's 1831-position model. The record is from RNAcentral.